RNAcentral lists this ribosomal RNA (442 nucleotides) under uncultured bacterium. RNAcentral's name for it is "partial 16S ribosomal RNA". It matches the Rfam family "Bacterial small subunit ribosomal RNA", at positions 338 to 795 of the family's 1533-position model. The record is from RNAcentral.
CCUACGGGUGGCAGCAGUAGGGAAUCUUUCACAAUGGGCGAAAGCCUGAUGGAGCAACGCCGCGUGCAGGAUGAAGGCCUUCAGGUUGUAAACUGCUUUUAUAAGCGAGAAAUAUGAUGGUAACUUAUGAAUAAGGAUCGGCUAACUACGUGCCAGCAGCCGCGGUCAUACGUAGGAUCCGAGCAUUAUCCGGAGUGACUGGGUGUAAAGAGUUGCGUAGGUGGCAUAAUAAGUAGCUAGUGAAAUCUGGUGGCGCAACCAUUCAGACUAUUAGCUAAACUGUUAAGCUCGAGACCGUUAGGGGUAACUGGAAUUUCUAGUGUAGGAGUGAAAUCCGUAGAUAUUAGAAGGAACACCGAUAGCGUAGGCAGGUUGCUGGGACGGUUCUGACACUAAGGCACGAAAGCGUAGGGAGCAAACGGGAUGAGAUACCCUUGUAGUC